RNAcentral lists this ribosomal RNA (462 nucleotides) under uncultured bacterium. Its description in RNAcentral is "bacterial SSU rRNA". It matches the Rfam family "Bacterial small subunit ribosomal RNA", at positions 29 to 506 of the family's 1533-position model. The record is from RNAcentral.
ACGAACGCUGGCGGCGUGCUUAACACAUGCAAGUCGAACGAUGAAGCCAGCUUGCUGGUGGAUUAGUGGCGAACGGGUGAGUAACACGUGGGUGAUCUGCCCCAAACUUUGGGAUAAGCCUGGGAAACUGGGUCUAAUACCGAAUAUGACCGAUACUCGCAUGGGUGUUGGUGGAAAGCUCCGGCGGUUUGGGAUGGGCCCGCGGCCUAUCAGCUUGUUGGUGGGGUAAUGGCCUACCAAGGCGACGACGGGUAGCCGGCCUGAGAGGGCGACCGGCCACACUGGGACUGAGACACGGCCCAGACUCCUACGGGAGGCAGCAGUGGGGAAUAUUGCACAAUGGGCGCAAGCCUGAUGCAGCGACGCCGCGUGAGGGAUGACGGCCUUCGGGUUGUAAACCUCUUUCACCAGGGACGAAGCGAAAGUGACGGUACCUGGAGAAGAAGCACCGGCCAACUACGU